CCUACGGGAGGCUGCGGUGGGGAAUAUUGCACAAUGGGGGAAACCCUGAUGCAGCGACGCCGCGUGAGUGAAGAAGUAAUUCGUUAUGUAAAGCUCUAUCAGCAGGGAAGAACAUGACGGUACCUGAGUAAGAAGCCCCGGCUAACUACGUGCCAGCAGCCGCGGUAAUACGUAGGGGGCAAGCGUUAUCCGGAUUUACUGGGUGUAAAGGGCUCGUAGACGGCAGGGCAAGUCUGGAGUGAAAGGCGGGGGCUCAACCCCCGGACUGCUCUUGAUACUGUACGGCUGGAGUGCAGUAGAGGUAAAUGGAAUUCCUGGUGUAGCGGUGAAAUGCGUAGAUAUUAGGAGGAACACCAGUGGCGAAGGCGGCUUACUGGACUGUAACUGACGUUGAGGCUCGAAAGCGUGGGUAGCAAACAGGAUUAGAUACCCGGGUAGUC
This 440-nucleotide ribosomal RNA is filed under the name uncultured bacterium. RNAcentral describes it as "partial 16S ribosomal RNA". It matches the Rfam family "Bacterial small subunit ribosomal RNA", at positions 338 to 795 of the family's 1533-position model. The record is from RNAcentral.